Molecule: ribosomal RNA, 417 nt
Filed under: uncultured bacterium
Lineage: Bacteria
Description: bacterial SSU rRNA
Rfam family: Bacterial small subunit ribosomal RNA
Source: RNAcentral
GCACAACGCGAAGAACCUUACCAACCCUUGACAUGGAGGGGACCGUUCCAGAGAUGGUUCUUUCACUUCGGUGACCCCUCACACAGGUGCUGCAUGGCUGUCGUCAGCUCGUGUCGUGAGAUGUUCGGUUAAGUCCGGCAACGAGCGCAACCCACACUUUCAGUUGCCAGCAUUCAGUUGGGCACUCUGAAAGAACUGCCGGUGAUAAGCCGGAGGAAGGUGUGGAUGACGUCAAGUCCUCAUGGCCCUUACGGGUUGGGCUACACACGUGCUACAAUGGCAGUGACAAUGGGCUAAUCCCAAAAAGCUGUCCCAGUUCGGAUUGGGGUCUGCAACUCGACCCCAUGAAGUCGGAAUCGCUAGUAAUCGCGUAACAGCAUGACGCGGUGAAUACGUUCCCGGGUCUUGUACACACCG